UCAGGAGAUAAAGUCAUGGCAGGAAGGUAAUGCAGGGAGCUGAGAAUUGUCCUCCAUGGUCAGCAUCAAUUAUUCGGAUGAUAUUGGGCGACAGGAAGAGUCUGACCGGAAGUAUAAAGGGUAUUUUUCUUCCAAGGGUGGAGUACAAAUUCGGAACCCAAAGCUAUGUCAGAAGGUGCUGGGUAACACCAGAAUCCUAAGGUGUCUUUAUCUGUCCAGCAGGUCCAAAGCUGUUUACUUUCUGGAGGGAAUCCAGAACAGAGAAGGACACUGCGCGUCUAGAGGUCUGCUGCUGCUGCUGCUGCUGCAGGUCUCCCUGGAGAACGUGGGACUCAUCACAAUGGCAGGGGAUUGCCCUGCUGGUGAUGGCAAGUUCAACUCCAUUCUGAAGUGCUUUUGGAGAAGAAGUUGAUAAUAAGUGCUAAUUUAAAGCAAGGAGGCUUAAAGGCUACAUACCUGACUUAAUGAGGUAAUAGAGAGAAAGACCAUCCAUGGCUUUUUCUAUGACUACUAUGACACUAUUUGAAAAGGAAUUUUAAUAUAGUUGUUUUAUUUGGGGGAAUGGAGUGGGAGGUCUAUUAAAUCAAUCACUCCCACCCCACUUAGCCCUGAUAUCUUUUUCAGAUGAGAAUAUAUCUCCAUUGAAUUAAUUGAUGAAGGGAAUUUCAAUUAGAUGUCAAAAGAAGGUUGUUUGGUUUGUUUGAGGAAAUUUGGCUACAACCUGUGUGUGGGUUUUAUAUAAAAGAGCAAACAAAUUCAGAAUCCAGGUAAUAUGUUGCCAUGAGAAACUGCUGUAGGAAGAGGGAACAGAAGAAUGGAUAUGACCUCCUG
Molecule: long non-coding RNA, 831 nt
Filed under: Monodelphis domestica (gray short-tailed opossum)
Lineage: Eukaryota; Metazoa; Chordata; Mammalia; Didelphimorphia; Didelphidae
Description: lncRNA (ENSMODG00000049387.1)
Source: RNAcentral